UGGGGAAUUUUGGACAAUGGGCGCAAGCCUGAUCCAGCCAUGCCGCGUGCGGGAAGAAGGCCUUCGGGUUGUAAACCGCUUUUGUCAGGGAAGAAAUCUUCUGAGUUAAUACCUCGGGAGGAUGACGGUACCUGAAGAAUAAGCACCGGCUAACUACGUGCCAGCAGCCGCGGUAAUACGUAGGGUGCAAGCGUUAAUCGGAAUUACUGGGCGUAAAGCGUGCGCAGGCGGUUUUGUAAGACAGAGGUGAAAUCCCCGGGCUCAACCUGGGAACUGCCUUUGUGACUGCAAGGCUUGAGUGCGGCAGAGGGGGAUGGAAUUCCGCGUGUAGCAGUGAAAUGCGUAGAUAUGCGGAGGAACACCGAUGGCGAAGGCAAUCCCCUGGGCCUGCACUGACGCUCAUGCACGAAAGCGUGGGGAGCAAACAGGAUUAGAUACCCUGGUAGUCCACGCCCUAAACGAUGUCAACUGGUUGUUGGGAAGGUUCCUUCUCAGUAACGUAGCUAACGCGUGAAGUUGACCGCCUGGGGAGCACGGCCGCAAGGUUGAAACUUAAAGGAAUUGACGGGGUCAUAGCUGUUUCCUG
RNAcentral lists this ribosomal RNA (586 nucleotides) under uncultured bacterium. Its description in RNAcentral is "partial 16S ribosomal RNA". It matches the Rfam family "Bacterial small subunit ribosomal RNA", at positions 355 to 1376 of the family's 1533-position model. The record is from RNAcentral.